This 409-nucleotide ribosomal RNA is filed under the name uncultured bacterium. RNAcentral describes it as "bacterial SSU rRNA". It matches the Rfam family "Bacterial small subunit ribosomal RNA", at positions 48 to 447 of the family's 1533-position model. The record is from RNAcentral.
UUAACACAUGCAAGUCGUGCGAGAAAGGGGACUUCGGUCCCUGAGUAGAGCGGCGCACGGGUGAGUAACGCGUGGAUAAUCUCCCCAGAAGUUCGGGAUAACGGCGGGAAACUGCCGCUAAUACCGGAUACGCUCCAAUUUCGGUUGGGGGAAAGGCGGCCUCUGUUUACAAGCUGUCGCUUCUGGAUGAGUCCGCGUCCCAUUAGCUUGUUGGUGGGGUAAUGGCCUACCAAGGCUACGAUGGGUAGCUGGUCUGAGAGGAUGAUCAGCCACACUGGAACUGAAACACGGUCCAGACUCCUACGGGAGGCAGCAGUGGGGAAUAUUGCGCAAUGGGGGAAACCCUGACGCAGCGACGCCGUGUGAGGGAUGAAGGCUUUCGGGUCGUAAACCUCUGUCGGGAGGGAAG